UACGGGGGGGGCGAGCGUUGUUCGGAAUUACUGGGCGUAAAGGGUUUGUAGGUGGUCUGCUAAGUCAGACGUGAAAUCCCUCAGCUUAACUGGGGAACUGCGUCUGAUACUGGCGGACUUGAGGACAGGAGAGGAACGCGGAAUUCCAGGUGUAGCGGUGAAAUGCGUAGAUAUCUGGAGGAACACCGGUGGCGAAGGCGGCGUUCUGGACUGUCUCUGACACUGAAGAACGAAAGCCAGGGGAGCAAACGGG
Molecule: ribosomal RNA, 253 nt
Filed under: uncultured bacterium
Lineage: Bacteria
Description: partial 16S ribosomal RNA
Rfam family: Bacterial small subunit ribosomal RNA
Source: RNAcentral